RNAcentral lists this ribosomal RNA (465 nucleotides) under uncultured Klebsiella sp. RNAcentral's name for it is "bacterial SSU rRNA". It matches the Rfam family "Bacterial small subunit ribosomal RNA", at positions 338 to 795 of the family's 1533-position model. The record is from RNAcentral. Lineage: Bacteria; Pseudomonadati; Pseudomonadota; Gammaproteobacteria; Enterobacterales; Enterobacteriaceae.
CCUACGGGCGGCUGCAGUGGGGAAUAUUGCACAAUGGGCGCAAGCCUGAUGCAGCCAUGCCGCGUGUGUGAAGAAGGCCUUCGGGUUGUAAAGCACUUUCAGCGGGGAGGAAGGCGGUGAGGUUAAUAACCUCAUCGAUUGACGUUACCCGCAGAAGAAGCACCGGCUAACUCCGUGCCAGCAGCCGCGGUAAUACGGAGGGUGCAAGCGUUAAUCGGAAUUACUGGGCGUAAAGCGCACGCAGGCGGUCUGUCAAGUCGGAUGUGAAAUCCCCGGGCUCAACCUGGGAACUGCAUUCGAAACUGGCAGGCUAGAGUCUUGUAGAGGGGGGUAGAAUUCCAGGUGUAGCGGUGAAAUGCGUAGAGAUCUGGAGGAAUACCGGUGGCGAAGGCGGCCCCCUGAACAAAGACUGACGCUCAGGUGCGAAAGCGUGGGGAACAAACAGGAUUAGAUACCCCAGUAGUC